AGCAAUCUGUCUCCAUAGAUAUUUAUAGUUCAGACUCCCAGAGGGUGCUAGCCUCCCAUCCUUGCUGCUGAGUAGUUUUCUUCUGCUGACGGAACAGACUAGAGGUGCUAACCCCUGUCCGGAGGGCUCUCAUUAAAGAGGCCAGACAGUCCACCUGCCUGUUAGGUGGCCCAGAGCCACCUGGGGCUUCCAGGAGGAGGGGAAGCAUCUAGUCUCCAUGUUGGAAAAAGCAAAUUCGUAGCAGAGACGUUUUCCCGGUCUGCUCUCCUCACUUUGGAAGAAGUUUGGCAACCCAGGUUAGUGUCUUUUUUAAAACGAUGCCGUCCCCACUGUUAAAACCCCCAAUUCAACUAAGUGAAAAUUAAAAUAUCUUAUUGGCUUUCUGGAACAAUUCAUGAAGAGGGCAGCAUUCCACCCAGCAGACAGAAAGAAGAUCUGAGGGCCUCUACAGUUUGAAGGACGUUUACAGGCAGAAGGGGGCAGGAACAAGGAAGUUAUGCUAGCAAAAAAACAGAUUGGCUGUGCCAAGUCAUUUUCCUGUAGGGGACAACUGUGGUCUAUCAGGCAGAUAACCUCACCAGUGGUGACCAGAUGAUUCCCGAUUGACCGGUUUCAGAUCACACUUCUGGAAGAGGCUGAGACCAUAACGAAGGGAUUGGAAAAUGCAAGCUGGGGGUCGCCUCGGUGGCUCAAGUCUGUUAAAGUGUCCAACUCUUGAUUUCGGCUCUGGUCAGGAUCUCACGGUUGGCUUAUUAAAUGGCAGACCGGUUUUAGUGAGAAUGAAGCUUUAAAAUGCAGUCAGCCAAGCAGAUCUAAUCACAUAAAGCAAGUGAAAAAUAAACAGCCAAUGUCUGGAAUGGCUAAUCAGAAGCCGGAAAAAAAAAAAAAAAUGAACGUAUGCGAUUUCCUCCAAGGUCUGCCAGUCACCUUCUGGGUGCAUUUCCAUGAAGCUUCAUGGGGACAUCCAACGAUUCUGAGUACGUAUUUAUUUGUGAGGGACUGCCGACUGUUUUAUGAACAUAAUAAAUGAUUCUCAGGACAGAGAAACAAUCCUAUCUCUCUUCCAAGAAGGAAAAAGGCACGGCUGGGCACUUGGUGCCCUCCUCCAAAUAAUCCAUCAUUGUCAUGACAAAUCCAGUGUCAGACUCUACAAUGUGACUGUAUAAAAGUCUUUCAGUCUAUCAUAGAAUGGGAGCAGGAGCAGCCCUUGGAGACCAUCCAGUCCAAGCUCAUGACCUCAUUUUAAUGAUGAAGAAACCAAGGCCUUGGAGGGAACCAGCACGUCAGAGAAUGUUUUCACUGGGCACCUACUAUGUGCUUCCCCAUAUGUCUUUCAUUGAAGCCUCAUAAAUAUUUUCUAUAGCUUAUUGGAAGCGUGAUAUGUACAUCUUACUCAGCCAGGGCAACUAACUUGCUCAAACCCCCAGUUGGUGGUAGAGGUUUGGCCCUGAGUCCACGCCUGUUGUAGCAGUAAGGUGGGGCAAGGUUAUGCUGUGGCUAACAACCCCGUGGAGCAACAAAGCGUUACUGCUGUUCAUCCCCCAUGUUGGCCAUGGACUGGCCAGGGGUCUUCCUUUUAUCACGUUCAUCCAGGGAUGAAUGAGAGACCCAGACUGUGGGAGGCUCUACUGCCAAGGGCCAAGGGGGAAGAAGGAGUAUAUCAACCCACAUUGCCCUUCAAAUCAGCCCAGAAGGGUACAACUCACAGUCCGCUGGCCAACACAAGUUGCUUGCCAUUCCCAACCUCAAGGGAGCAGAGAAGGCAGUCUUACAGUGCACUGGAGACCCACAGAAAAUACCUGGUGAGCUCCACCAAUAACCACCACCCAUUCUCUGUCCACAAACCCUCUCUGCCCCCCAGGGAAGCACUGAAGGGUUCCCUGGAUGGCAGAGCCCCUUCAUGGACGAGUCUUCCCAUUCAUUUCUUGCACACCUCACUUUCUGCUUCCCCAGGCUGCCUCCCUCCACCUGGCUAAGAAGGAGCAAGAUGUUCAUUCUUUCUUCUGUGGCGGUUUAAGUAUGUUGGCAAACAUUACCAGACCCCAGGGCAGGAAGAUGAUAGGCAAAGAGAACCAAAAUUACAGACUGUAAGAUGUAAGAAAACAGGGUUUCGGUUUCCUCAGAUCCUAAUGUUAAUGUUUACUUUUCUGCAUGAUAUGCGGCAGUGGAAGAACAUUCUUUUCUAGUCUAUUUCUUUUUCCUUGCCUCCAAAAUGCAGGUAAAACUUUUAUAUUACUUUAAUUUGAAACUAAUUUAAGGAA
Molecule: long non-coding RNA, 2261 nt
Organism: Panthera uncia (snow leopard)
Lineage: Eukaryota; Metazoa; Chordata; Mammalia; Carnivora; Felidae
Exons: 3
Source: RefSeq, a predicted model, not a curated record